AAUGGUUGGUUUGGAGCCAUUCUAGACGAUGAUCUAUCUCUAUUUCAAUUUUCGAUCAUACUCAUCCAGCCCUUAUUGCGACACAUCAGGAUGCCAUGAGUAGCCUGAAGUAGAACCUUUUUCAGAAGAAGAUCUUGAUAGAGACCAUGGCCUCUUUUCCAUAUGCUGGGUUCAUUGCAGGGAAUGUGGAGGCCAACGGUCAUCGGAAUUGGCAUGCAAAGUGUGUC
RNAcentral lists this long non-coding RNA (227 nucleotides) under Elaeis guineensis (African oil palm). RNAcentral's name for it is "long non-coding RNA (EGUI_LNC016739)". Lineage: Eukaryota; Viridiplantae; Streptophyta; Magnoliopsida; Arecales; Arecaceae. The record is from RNAcentral.